GUACACGACCAACUAAUCCAGACAACGGAGCUUACAGCACAGGGGACUUCACCGCUGUACAGAAUACGCUGACUUUAACUUGUGACUGUGGAUACAUGGCUUAUGGUUCUACCACAGCAAUAUGUGGAGAAGACGGCCAAGUGACAGAUGUGAAUGGUACAUGCAGCCGAAUCUGUACACGACCAACCAAUCCAGACAACGGAGCAUACAGUACAGGGGACUUCACCGCUGUACAGAAUACACUGACGUUAACUUGUGAUAGUGGAUACCAAGUCUAUGAUUCUCCUACAGCAACUUGCGGAGCAGACGGCCAAGUGACUGGUGUGAAUGGUACAUGUGCCCGAAUCUGUACACGACCAACCAAUCCAGACAAUGGAGCUUACAGCACAGGGGACUUCACCGCUGUACAGAAUACACUGACGUUAACUUGUGACAGUGGUUUUCAGGUUCAUGGUUCUCCUACAGCAAGUUGUGGAGCAGAUGGCCAAGUGACUGGU
Sycon ciliatum is the source of this 497-nucleotide long non-coding RNA. RefSeq lists it as uncharacterized. NCBI's taxonomy places the organism in Eukaryota, Metazoa, Porifera, Calcarea, Leucosolenida, Sycettidae. The record is from RefSeq and is a predicted model, not a curated record. The transcript is spliced from 3 exons.